This 82-nucleotide non-coding RNA is filed under the name Blautia sp. Its description in RNAcentral is "ZTP sequence". It matches the Rfam family "ZMP/ZTP riboswitch aptamer (pfl RNA motif)". From Rfam's summary of the family: Previously known as pfl RNA. ZMP is also known as AICAR. The record is from RNAcentral. Lineage: Bacteria; Bacillati; Bacillota; Clostridia; Lachnospirales; Lachnospiraceae. RNAcentral also lists the same sequence under 1 other name.
AAAAGGCUUAAUAACUGACGGAAAAGUGGAGUACCACAAAGGAGUUAAGCCUAAGAUACUGCCGGCCGUCUGGGCAACAUUU